UUCCAAGAUCAUCUCUGAUCUAUCAUCCACAAGUAUAAUGUAGCCCUGAAACCCAUAUUUUACCAACAACAAUACAAAAUCAAACCUCUAGCAACCCCACCAAAAAAAAAAGAAAAAAAAAGUAACAAAUAGAUUACAUAUUGUAUAACAUUAACAAGAAGAAAACCCAUUAGAAUGGUGAAGGGGCAACUUGAUCCAAGAAGGAUGGAGGCGCCAUGUCAAAGAAGGGUCUUCCAGGCCUGCACAGUGAGCCAUACAUGCUUGGCUCACAGCUAUCCAGGAAGUGCCUGGUCUUUAUAAUGGUGAACCUCUUCACUGGCCCCAACCCAAAUAGCAAGCAGAUUGCUAUUGUCAGGAUCGCAGAGCAGAAAAUGCACAUGCAAAUUCUAGCAAGACACCCAAUGCAGCACAUCUUUGCUUCUCUUUCUCCUUUUCUUUUCUGUUUUUUUUUAAGAUUAAGAUCCAAGAAGAGAGAAGAGGGUUUUCUCUCUCUCUCUCUCUCUCUUUUUUCUUUUCUUUGUCUUGUAUUUGGCCAAACAAAAGAUUUCUCUUUUUCCCUUUGGCCAAACGAAAGGUUUUUUGCACGAGAACUUGGAAUUCCCUGGAGGUAGGGAACGCAAAUGCUUAUGACAAUG
Molecule: long non-coding RNA, 635 nt
Filed under: Prunus dulcis (almond)
Lineage: Eukaryota; Viridiplantae; Streptophyta; Magnoliopsida; Rosales; Rosaceae
Description: sRNA ncRNA
Source: RNAcentral